RNAcentral lists this ribosomal RNA (466 nucleotides) under uncultured bacterium. RNAcentral's name for it is "partial 16S ribosomal RNA". It matches the Rfam family "Bacterial small subunit ribosomal RNA", at positions 29 to 507 of the family's 1533-position model. The record is from RNAcentral.
ACGAACGCUGGCGGCGUGCUUAACACAUGCAAGUCGAACGGAAAGGCCUCUUUCGGGGGGUACUCGAGUGGCGAACGGGUGAGUAACACGUGAGUAACCUGCCCUUGACUUUGGGAUAACUUCAGGAAACUGGGGCUAAUACCGGAUAGGAGCUCCUGCUGCAUGGUGGGGGUUGGAAAGUUUCGGCGGUUGGGGAUGGACUCGCGGCUUAUCAGCCUGUUGGUGGGGUAGUGGCUUACCAAGGCCUUGACGGGUAGCCGGCCUGAGAGGGUGACCGGCCACAUUGGGACUGAGAGACGGCCCAGACUCCUACGGGAGGCAGCAGUGGGGAAUAUUGCACAAUGGGUGGAAGCCUGAUGCAGCAACGCCGUGUGCGGGAUGACGGCCUUCGGGUUGUAAACCGCUUUCGCUCAUGACGAAGCUUUGUGUGACGGUAGUGGGUAAAGAAGCACCGGCUAACUACGUG